RNAcentral lists this ribosomal RNA (496 nucleotides) under uncultured bacterium. RNAcentral's name for it is "partial 16S ribosomal RNA". It matches the Rfam family "Bacterial small subunit ribosomal RNA", at positions 29 to 507 of the family's 1533-position model. The record is from RNAcentral.
AUGCACGCUGGCGGCGUGCCUAAUACAUGCAAGUCGAACGCAUAGCGAAAGGUGCUUGCACCUUUCAAGUGAGUGGCGAACGGGUGAGUAACACGUGGACAACCUGCCUCAAGGCUGGGGAUAACAUUUGGAAACAGAUGCUAAUACCGAAUAAAACUUAGUGUCGCAUGACACAAAGUUAAAAGGCGCUUCGGCGUCACCUAGAGAUGGAUCCGCGGUGCAUUAGUUAGUUGGUGGGGUAAAGGCCUACCAAGACAAUGAUGCAUAGCCGAGUUGAGAGACUGAUCGGCCACAUUGGGACUGAGACACGGCCCAAACUCCUACGGGAGGCUGCAGUAGGGAAUCUUCCACAAUGGGCGAAAGCCUGAUGGAGCAACGCCGCGUGUGUGAUGAAGGCUUUCGGGUCGUAAAGCACUGUUGUAUGGGAAGAACAGCUAGAAUAGGAAAUGAUUUUAGUUUGACGGUACCAUACCAGAAAGGGACGGCUAAAUACGUG